UAAAAAAAAAAAAAAAAAACAAAUCAGAACAGACUAACACAAAAGAAACUCUUGUCGGAAGGAAAACACAGAAACAUUGUGAACAGUAGUUAUGUCUUGUCUGAAUAAUAUCAGAGUUCCAAAGAAGAAGAAGAAGAAGAAUGCGAAGAAGCAAAAGCACAGGUAAGAGAAAGAACCAGAGGAAGGAGAAGAGAAGCCGUUCUUGAGAUGUGUCUUUGUCGGAAACGAAGGAGAUGAAGAAACCAAGUUCUUCGUCGUAGCUUCCAUUGCAAGAAAAACUCACAAGGUACUGCUUUUUUUUUGUUGUGAAUGGCUAAGGAAGACGGAGGCUACUCAUGACGAGCAGAUAAGGCAAUCAGCUCUCGAUAUCCUCAGCGCUGCCAUGGAAGUGUGGUCUCAGACCCACCUAGGCCAGAUUUUUUUCUUCUCUUCUUAAAAAUCAUAUUGGGCCCCUUACUGGGUUUAGGAUAGGCCCACUAUAAUGAAAAAGCCCAAAUAUUUAAAUGUUAAUUAUUUCCAAUUCCAGAGGGAAGUGGUCAACGUCAUAAAGUAAGAGUGGUGAUCACUUUAACCCUAGAUUCUCUGUCUGAAUCUCUCUGUUGGAUUAUACAAAAGCUUUGUUUGGUUUCCAUUACUGUGACAGUAGAGCCAAACUCGAUGAGUUCUGAGAUGGUGUUUUUCUAUAUGAUGCUUUUACAAAGGUUUUGUGGAUCAAGGUCUAAGUUAGUUUCGAGGUUUAAUACGUUACUAAAAUAAUUGUGAUUGUUUAAAACAAUAAUUAACAAUUGCAAACUCGAAAUUCAGAAUUUUUUAGAUGAUGUUUUGUAGAAAACCAACAAAAAUUAAAAGUAACAUUUUAAGCUAGUAAACGUAAAAACGCACAUGUUCAUUAAUUGAACAAUUUUAUUCGUGAGAUAUGAAACUCAAAGUUUAAACUCUUAGACCAAAUCGCCUCUCCCUCUGCUGAUACCAAGUCAAGGCCUCGAGAUACUCAGCCUUGCCGAACUCAGGCCACAGUACAGUAGGAAAGUAGAGCUCAGUGUAAGCUGAUUGCCAUAGGAAAAAGUUACUGAUCCUUUGUUCUCCACCCGUUCUGAUCAACAGAUCAGGGAUAGGGAACUCACUACACUUUGUCAUCAGUUCGUUUUCCAUCAACUUUUCGUUGAUGUCCUCCAAUUGGAUCAAGCCGUUUUUCGCCUUUUCAGCAAGACUUUUACACGCUUGUAAGAUAUCUAACCUUCCGCUAUAGUCUAGCGCCAUGAUGAGUUGCUUCCCUUUGUAGCUCUUUGUAGCUUCUUCUACCUCUAGUAUCGCAUCUCGAAGCGACGCGGGGAUGUUUUCCCGCUUUCCGAUAACCGUAACCUUGAUUUUUUGUCUAAAUUAAGAAGAAAGGAAAUAUUAACAUUGUAUAACGCUUCAUAAAAGGAUCAAAAAUAAACGUUUACAUCCAUUGUACAAAAGUGAUCUUUCGAUAUGGAUAAAUUCAAAAAUAAAAAUAAAAAAACGAUCAACGAUAACAUGUUGGGAUACCUGUGGGCUUGAGGUAUCAUCAUCUUGGCAAAAAAUGACCAUCCAGUAGUCAACUUCAUCCUGAUGAAAGAAAAAAAAAAUCACUGAAUCGAAACGGAUAUAAAAUGUAUCUUGAAAUUUUCUAGAAAUGAUCAGUCUUUCAUAUUUUUUGGAAUCACACCUGGGGUCUUCUCCAAUUUUCAGUAGAGAAAGCAAAGAGUGAAACAGUGUUUAUCCCCGCAAUGAAAAAUUCCUCAGUCAUAUCCAAGGCUCUUCUGCAUCCAGCUUCUUGACCUUCCGCUAUCGUGAGUCCGUUUUGCUUCGCCCAACGUCUAUUUCCAUCCAAUAUGAUUGCCACAUGUUUUGGCAUUGUCCCUUGGUUCUCUUUCUCUCCAAGUGUACCACUACAAAUCAGUAAGAACAAAUAAGCUUGAAACUUUCAUGUAUCAUCUAGUAGAAAGUUAGAAUUAAUCACUUGAGCAAUGCCUUUUUCUCUUGGCAUACAAUUAACCAAACAAAAUAUUAUAUAUAUACAUGAGUGUGUAUACCUAUGCCGUUGUGGGGUCAUGAUUGCACGUUAAAUUAGACCCAUCACAAUUCGUAGAUUUUUCUUAAGGAUGGUCUAAUAUAGUUAUCACGUGUCGGUCAAUGAGACCUAGAUAUCCAUAUAGAUUAUACAGUUGUGUAAAAUGUGUCCAUAUUGAUUAUAGAGUUAGCAGGCAAUAUGAAAACGCAAAUAUGUUGAAAAAUCUAAAUACGUCGAAUAAAUAAAAUGACCAUAUAUAGGCUAAUAGUGUUGUUAAAUUGGUGGCAUUACUGUUUUUUUUCUUUUGAAGAACAGAUCAAACUACUGUUAGUUUGUAGGUUCUUAAAUUAGGUAAUUGAUGUUUGCCUGAGAGAAACAAUUCACUUACCAAAAGGAUUAAGAAAUUUCACGUAAAAACUAUAAGUAACAGAGAAGCACACUACCUUAUCUCGUUCCUCUCAUCUUUUUCAUGGUACUGAUCAGAUAUUGCGCUUUUGAUAAAUCUGUGGGUAUUUUUGAAGUAAAGAGGAACACAUGGACUUUUCAUGGAAAGAGGAACACUUAAACGCCUAGACUGAAGAGACAAAGGAUGAGAAUAAGAGCAAGAAAAGUAAAGACUAUAGAGUGUAGACACCAUUAUCGUUUGUUUUCGAUAUGCAUUGGAGUUGAUUAAUUUCACCCAUCUAUAUAAAUAUACUUGAAGGGGUCCGGGUUCAAAGACGCACAUGAUCAAUGGAACCUUCCCUCUCUCACCCUCUCUGUCUUUCCUUGAUGCUACGCAACGACAGGUCAUAAUAAGUAUCAAGAUUAAUGAGAUCUUACGUCGCUAGAAAGUCGCUAGAUGGUUUUGUCACGUGAUUUCUUAAUCUUAAUGAGUUCAAGAAAAUCACAAGGUCCUGUGCUUUUGUGAAUAGCUAAGGAACGACGAAUCAUAACAUGAGGCUACUCAAUGACGAGCAGAUAAGGCAAUCAGCUCUCGCGCUGCCAUGGAAGUGUGGUUCCAGACCCACCUAGGCCAGAUUUUUCUUCUCUUCUCAAAAUCAUGUUGGGCCUCUUAUUGGGUAUAAUAUAGGCCCACCAGAAUGAAAAAUAUUUGUGCUCCAAUUUUAAAAUUAUAUUUUAAAUCUGGAUAUGUGGUAGAAUUUAAUUAUGUUCGAUUUAGUUGGGAAUUUUUAUUUUUGUUUUUGUAUUUGUUGUCCCCGCCCUACAAAAAGAAUUAUCAUUAUUUUUUGGUAAAAUGUUAAGCUAGAAUGUUAAGCUACAAAAAGAAUUUCAUUAUUUGGCAGAAGAAUACUGUACAUCAUUAAUUGAAUAAGCAUCCUUAACGUAAAGUACUAUUUAUGUACAGUAGUUUUUAGAAACCUAAAUACAAAACAUUUACAUAAUGAACUACUGGAACCUUCAAUUCUUGUUCAACUUUUACUUCUUCUUUUUUUUAGUUUUAUCCAAAAAAAGUGAAGAUGUCUUGAAGUUGUGAAUUCUCUUCAUAAAAAUUUAAAGUGAAAUUUAUUUUGAAGGAUCCCUUUGAUAAUGAAAAGUUAAAUUUUAUCAAAUUAAAUAAUUUUAUUAACUAAUUGUUCUUAAAUUGACGAUGAAAAGCGCAAAAGCACAACCUUAGGUGAUGGAGAUGGUAGAUAAAUACAACUAAAUUAGUAAACACGGCUUUACAUGAACCUAUGUACAUACCAUUCACAAAUCAAACGCGCUUUUAACACUGUUACACUGGUCAUAAUAUUAAAAGUUUUAAUUUAAAACACUCUCACUUCCUUGUUCAUCCCAAUUCGAUGGGGCAUGCUGGUCCAUUUGUGUGUAGUCCCGUCGCUAUCGAAUACAAUAACAGUGUCUGCUGUUUGCAUGUUCAAACCAAAGACCACCGGCAUUGCACGUGUGCUCAAAACUACCAUGCAUGAAGAGAUUCUGAGACUUGUGAUCAUUUUCAAUAAAAGAAUAGUUUCGGAUUCAACCAUAAACAUGUAGAUACAUUGACAAAGAAGCCAUUCAAUAUCAUAAUUUACAUUCCGUGUGGUCCGGUUAUAAUAGAACCUCAAACAUUUUAACAAGUGUAAUGUUAUUAUUUCUCAAAAAGAAAGUGUAAUGUUAUAAUUAUCUGAGUUUCAUUUUAUAGUGUUUUUAAGAAUUAUAGUUGUUAAAAUGUUAAUACGGUGAUUAACUUGAUGACAAAAGUCCAACGCGGUGGAACUACCAGGGUUCGAGUCUCGGCCACUAAAAUCUUAACAUUUAGGCAUCAUGGUAAUACGUAACUAGUCUGGACCACUUUUUUGUGGUUAGAAUACCCUUGUAUAAUUUUAAAAAAAUGUUUUUCUUGGCCCCGGUUAUGCAUCCAGUUCAUAUGAAUGUAACUUCUUGUCCAUUUUUAUUUAAAUGGCCAAAAUAAAACUAGUAAAUGUAAAUUAUCAUAUGUUUAUUUACAUUCUUGUCUUCGUCAUUUUCAAAUUUUCGCAAACCAAAACAUUUUAACUAUUGUAAGAAAAUUAUAAAAUGAAAUAUAGAUAAUAACAACAUUUUCUGACAUUCAAAUAAAUACAAAAGCAUAAUUUUUUCUUCAAAAUUAGAAAAGAAAAAAAGUUAACGUAUCUUACACGUGACGCUUUCAUGGUUUUGAGUUCAGUAUUACUAACCCAUCAUUUAAUCAAAUUUGUUAUCCUUAAAUAUAAACUAAUAAAUUUAAAGAUUAAAAUUAUAGAUCUCUUAUGAUGUUUUAUAUAUAAUCUCAUUCUAAUAAAAUGACGGGAGGAUUACGAAAAUUGUCUAACUUAAAUGUUUUUAAAAGGAUAUGUUUUUUCUUCUUCUGUUUGGUCGAAAAAGAAUAUGUUUUGUUGAUAUAAAAUUACAGAUAGGUAUGCUUUUCCUAAAAUUAUAAAUCUAAAUUCUAAACACGCACACAACACAUACAUUACAGAUAGAUAUGUUUCGUACGCACAAGCUCGCAAAAAUUAAAGGCAGAAGAAUCCUGCUUCGUUCGGCAGUCACUGUUACUCAAUUUGACAGACUCAAAACUAACUUCACAAAACACGCACACAACACGAACAUUACACAUAGAUAGAUAGAUCCGAGAGAGACGCUUUGGAAGAGAAAUAGUGUAACAAUUAGAAACUCUUACGCAAUAGAAAGGAAACAUGUUUGUGAGUUAUUAUGGGGUUGGACUCUAACCACCGUUACUCUAUUUCUCUCUUAUUACGGACCCUCAAACAUUGACAUUUCUCUAUCCAUGUAACCUCUCAAGAGACAAUAGCCCUUUCACCAUCCCUACUCUCUAUCUUGUGAACCAUAAACGUCCCACGUACAUCAAAUGCUCUAAGUAUUAUCAGAAUUAUGCAGCACCAUUGCAUGGUUCUAUAUUAGCCGUCCAUGUGUUGACAAGUCAAGAAGUCACUUAAGCUAGUAGAGCCUUGAGCUGCUUAGAUCCAACACAGCUCUAGGAAAAGUCAAGCGAUCUGAUUCUGGAUACAAGCAUUUCUGCACAUCAUACUGAAACUAUAUUAUAGAAUAUCCAAUGCAUGAAUCAUUGACCAGGAUCACCCUUUCUCCAAGAAGAUUUAGACCCAUUCCUGAACCCUAUCCAAUUCAUAUCUCCUCUAUAUUUCUGCACUUAUUGUCUUGUGGGGUCUCCCAUGAACUUCAAGAACUCUGACACCAUUUUUGUAAUACUUUUAAAAUUUGAAGAUGAACCAUUUAUGAUCAAAAAUAACAGAACCGCAUGAUUGAAUAAAGUACUGUACCAUUUAAAAGUCGACUGUCAUGUUCAAACAUUUAAUGAGGAGCUUUGAUAUACUUCUACUUCGGCAUGUAUAUAUGUAUAUAUAAACCCGUUCUCCACCUUGUACUCUCAUCCCAAUACACAUUUUCUCAUCACAACAUUACAUUCAUCAAAUCUAUAUCUUGUUGAUCAAUCAUCUCCUCCUACUAAAAUGAAGACUAAGUUCAUCAAGUCCUGCGAAAAGAAACUAAAGAAGAUGACAGUCACAACACCUUGUAAGUUUUGCGAAAGAAUUUGCUUGGCGUUCAAGAGGGAAGCUGAGGUGAUACCAAAAGAUGUCCCUAAGGGACACUUGGUUGUCUACGUAGGUGAGGAGUCCAUGAGGUUUGUGAUUAAGAUCAGCUUACUUGCACACCCACUCUUCAAGGCACUGCUGGAUCAAGCACAGGAUGCUUAUGGUUUCAGUGCAGACGCCAGACUAUGGAUUCCAUGCGAUGUGAGCACCUUCCUCGACGUUGUCCGUUGUGCUGGUUCUCCACAGUAUCAGAACAGUUGUAUGUGUAUCUAGGAAGGUUCUUCAAGGAACUCAAGGCAUUCUUUUAUUUAUCCAGAGGGGGCCAUGUUUCCAAAGAGUGGUGGUUAAUGCUAAGCUAUUGCAGUACACUAAUAAUGUAAAACUUUUUGAAUUGAUAUGUUAUCAGCUAGGCAAGCUGUAAACACGAUUAAAAUUAUGUAUCAUUACUUCUCCAGCUCCAUAAAUAUACAUGAAGCCAUUAACGCAAGAAUAGAAGGCAUUAAUCCAUGAAAAUUACUAGAGAAACAUACAAACCAAGUAACUGAAACCAUACAGCUCUUUAACAAAUGUAUGUUAUCUGUGGUGAGGGCAGAAAAAGAGAGAACAUAAUAGUUUGCUUUUCACGCAUCUCAAGACCAAAAGGCAAAACGACCUACAAAACCUGUGUAGUUCUUGAAAGAAUCAGUCGAAAAUAAGAUAUUAUGACCAAGAGUUUAGUCUACGAAUUCGUAAGGGUUGGCCAUGAAAUCCAAAUCAUAGCAACCAAUGUUCCACAUUGCAUCAAUCCAAAGAAUGCAUUAACAUGUUAGUAUUGACAAAAAGAAGAUCAAAAUGGCUACUAGAUGAUAGGUACACUUAAAGCCAAGGGUUAGGAUCUAUUAACCAUUCCCAAAAUGACCACCUUCAUGGUUUUGACAGAAGCAAGAUAUACACAACGGACAUUCUUGUUCAAAUGAGUAGUUGUAUCGUACUUCCUUCACACGUAAUCCUAUGUGCUUACAUACAUCAAAUGGAUGGCAUUCAUAUCAAUCAACUGUACUGUGACUCUAAAACCAAAGGAACCUAGUCAUUGUCAUCUCAACCCAUUGAUCAAAUUCUACAUUUCUCUUCUCCCAAACCUUCUACCUUCUACCUUUUACCUGCGCAUCUUUACACCUAGCUGCUAAGUAAAACACUAACCAAGCCGCCAUGAAGUAAACUUCCAAAGCAGACUGGAUCACAGUAGCAAACCUUCUCCCCCCACAACUCGAAUCAGAACCCAUCUGAACAAAGAAUCGCCUCUAGACACUUAUUAAGCUGCACAGCCUGAUGCAACAGAAGAGACACCACAUACCAAACCUUCCUUCACAAUCUCCCUCGAAUACUCCACGGUGGCAUAACAGCGAAAGGCAUCAGCUUUAACCUCACAAAGGGCCUGAAACUCUCAAAGUCCUUGUCUUCGGACAGAUUAAUUCUACUUUUGUCUGAAUGUAUCGAUGUUCUAAUCAACUCUGAUGGGCCAUAUGGGCUUUUAAUUGGGCCUUAGCAACUGACAAGUUUGAUGUCGAAUCACUCCUAAUAUUUCAUCUCCAUGCAUAUUUUUUUUGUUGGUAAAGCUUGGAGGACUAAUCAUCAAAAUGUAAUUGAUUUUUUUUUUUUUUUUUUUGCUAAAAAUGUAAAUGUCAUUACUAGAAUGAUGGUUUGGUUACAAAUUUUGAACCAGAAUCUGCUAAUUAAAGCCAUUCAGUUCUUAGGAGCUGCAAAAAAAGUAAAAACCCCUAAGAAACUAUGAUUUAGGUCCAUAGCAAACCACUAAUGGUGAGCAAUGAAGCUAAUUUAAAACUAAAACAAGAGACAGCAGAAUUGAUCCCUUACAAAAUGCUUCCUGAUCACCUAAUACGACCAAGAGAAUAGCUACCAGCUGUUCGGACGAACACACACCCGAAGGUGGCUCCAAACGGCUUCAACGGAGGCGCCUGGAAACGGCCCCGGAACACCAGAGGAGGAGGACGCCGAACAAACAGACCCGAAGCUAACGCAGCGAAAAGACAAAGUGUAAUCUCGACAUUCCAACCAGUGAAGAGUAAGAGCAGAAAUCAGGUCAACGCAGGCGGUAAUAUCACCCUCUCAACCGGCCACGGACCUAGAAGAUGUGGUGGAAACAUCGAGAGGAAACACAAAGCUUUCGCCGGGGGCAAAAGAAGGGACGUGAGAACGCAGAAGGAGACUGACGAAAGACUCCUCAACAACAGGCAGCAUCAAUUGUGAGCAGAGCUUCACCUUCAAACAAAGACACCUUCACAGGGUUGUCCUCAAAACCCUCAUUAUCAGCAUCAACAAACGAGAAGGGAGAGCACAAGAGCUCACAGAAGAACGCCAUGGCAGCUGAAUCUCGAACUAAGAACAUAGGUCCUCUGUGGCGAGCCUACACACCACUUUUCACUCAGAGACUAAGAGGAGAAGCUCUACACAUACCUUGGGCCAGCGGUGGAAUAAAUCGAUUGGAGCAAACCUAGAGCCAGGAGCAGCGACGGUGCGUCACAUGAAACUGGUGGUUCACGGACCUCAGAUCUGACCCAGAUCUGAGCACAAUUGACUCAUCCAAGGCUGAUUCAAAGCCCCUGAGGUACCCUCGAUCGACCUCGCCUCGCCGGAACUCCGGAGAAACCAUGAACGCCCAUGGUUCCCGAUAGAUCUAAAGAGAAAUCCAGAGCCACCAAGCAAAGAGGAGAGACAUGAUGAGGAGAGUAACAGGGAGAAGGCUUGGACAUGGGAGCACUGGCAGGGGUGGCGACCGGAGCAGAAGCAUCCGGCCACCGAGACGGUUGAGCAGAAGACGCGGCGGCUAGGUUAAGGUUUUGGGGGAGAGACCCUAGAGAGAAAUCGUCGACGUCUUUCGAUUUUCGUUUUCUUGACUUCUUGAAAUUGUCAAAAAAAAAAAAAUGUAAUUGAUUGCCUUCCAAAUAAUAAGACAUAAACUUGUACCAGAAAUUAAAAGUGAAGUGGAGACAGGCUCUAUUCAACUAACUAGAAAGUCAACUCUGAUGGAUCAGCACUAUCUUUAAUUUGGUUGUAAAGAGUUGCGAUAGACUGCUAUACCGUUAGACCUAACAUUCAAACACAAAAGUUUCAGCUAUGUUUUACCUUAUUCUGAUGCAAUGUCAAAUGAUCAGACCUAAUAUGGUAUGGAUUUCUUUUAAUUUUAUGAGUUUGCUUCCGUUUCGUAUCAGUUAGUUUGUAGUAGUCAGAUGGAAUAGCUCACUUACUGGACUGAUUCUUCCAUGUUAGCCACAGUCUUCUGAGAGUGGAGUCUUAUUAGUGGAAUAUUUUCCAGUCUUAUAAAAAUGAAAUGCAAAUUCUGUGUGUAACCUUUAAAACGGAAUAUUGAUCAUUACACUUUAACAAAUUAAAGUUUUUUUAGUUUCGGUUGAUACUUAUUUUCAAUUAUAAAAAUAGUUCUAGUAUCGAUGUUUCAUUGGGAAGUUUAUAACAAAUAAUGUGUGACUUUAUAAGAGUUUUAUUAUCUUUAAAUGAUUCCAUUAGAUUGAGACUGGUUAAGAUGAUUCCAUUAGAAGUGAAGUUGAUAAACAGUAUCUAAUUAAUGAUCUGUAUCUUCUUAAUAGUUGUCCACUUUGUUAUGGAGACUUCCAUAUACCCAAAUUUGACAAAAUGUAUCAUUUCACACUUGUAACAAGAAAAAAAUGUUCAUUUGAGAACUUACAAUGAGUUUUACAGACAAUUUAUAAACUAGACAAAGACAGAAACCACUUCACAGGCAAUCAUUUGGUAAAAUUAUUCAGACAUUUAAAAAAAAAACUUAAUAGUAAAAAAAAAACAGAACCUUUAAUCACUCUUAACAUAUAGGAAUGGGAGCUCCGUUCCACUCAUCGAGACACUCCAUCAACGGAUCAAUAAUCUUCCCUUCACAGAUCGCCGUGAAAACCUUAUCAAACUCUUCUCCGGGCGACGUCGCUUUCUCUCCGGUCAAAAGCUCUGUUCCAAGCUCCUCCCUCACAAACCUAUACAAAGGAUACGACCUACACUCCUUGAUCCUGUUCGGUAU
This 10090-nucleotide long non-coding RNA is filed under the name Brassica rapa (field mustard). Its description in RNAcentral is "long non-coding RNA (BRAP_LNC003087)". The record is from RNAcentral. Lineage: Eukaryota; Viridiplantae; Streptophyta; Magnoliopsida; Brassicales; Brassicaceae.